UGGGGAAUAUUGCACAAUGGGCGCAAGCCUGAUGCAGCCAUGCCGCGUGUGUGAAGAAGGCCUUCGGGUUGUAAAGCACUUUCAGCGAGGAGGAAGGUGGUGAGCUUAAUACGCUCAUCAAUUGACGUUACUCGCAGAAGAAGCACCGGCUAACUCCGUGCCAGCAGCCGCGGUAAUACGGAGGGUGCAAGCGUUAAUCGGAAUUACUGGGCGUAAAGCGCACGCAGGCGGUUUGUUAAGUCAGAUGUGAAAUCCCCGGGCUCAACCUGGGAACUGCAUUUGAAACUGGCAAGCUAGAGUCUCGUAGAGGGGGGUAGAAUUCCAGGUGUAGCGGUGAAAUGCGUAGAGAUCUGGAGGAAUACCGGUGGCGAAGGCGGCCCCCUGGACGAAGACUGACGCUCAGGUGCGAAAGCGUGGGGAGCAAAACAGGAUUAGAUACCCUGGUAGUCCAGCGCUGUAAAACGAUGUCGAUUUUGGAGGUUGUGCCCUUGAGGCGUGGCUUCCGGAGCUAACGCGUUAAAUCGACCGCCUGGGGAGUACGGCCGCAAGGUUAAAACUCAAAGGAAUUG
Molecule: ribosomal RNA, 569 nt
Filed under: uncultured bacterium
Lineage: Bacteria
Description: partial 16S ribosomal RNA
Rfam family: Bacterial small subunit ribosomal RNA
Source: RNAcentral